This 448-nucleotide ribosomal RNA is filed under the name uncultured archaeon. RNAcentral describes it as "bacterial SSU rRNA". It matches the Rfam family "Archaeal small subunit ribosomal RNA", at positions 474 to 922 of the family's 1478-position model. The record is from RNAcentral.
UACCGGCAGCUCAAGUGGUAGCCGCGAUUAUUGGGCCUAAAACGUUCGUAGCCGGAUAAGUAAGUCUUUGGUUAAAUCCUGCGACUCAACCGUGGGAAUUCUAGAGAUACUGCUUGUCUUGAGACCGGGAGAGGUUGGAGGUACUCCUAGGGUAGGGGUGAAAUCCUGUAAUCCUAGGGGGACCACCUGUGGCGAAGGCGUCCAACUGGAACGGGUCUGACGGUGAGGGACGAAACCUAGGGGAGCGAGCCGGAUUAGAUACCCGGGUAGUCCUAGGCGUAAAUGAUGCGAGUUAAGUGUGGGGGCAUCUACGAGAUGGCCCUGUGCUGUAGGGUAGCCGUUAAACUCGCUGCCUGGGGAGUACGGUCGCAAGGCUGAAACUUAAAGGAAUUGGCGGGGGAGCACCACAAGAGGUGGAGGCUGCGGUUCAAUUGGAUUCAACGCCGGA